Molecule: unclassified non-coding RNA, 253 nt
Filed under: uncultured Pirellulaceae bacterium
Lineage: Bacteria; Pseudomonadati; Planctomycetota; Planctomycetia; Pirellulales; Pirellulaceae
Description: contains 16S-23S intergenic spacer region
Rfam family: Bacterial small subunit ribosomal RNA
Source: RNAcentral
UACGAACCGGACAAACGUUAUUCGGAAUUAUUGGGCUUAAAGGGUGCGUAGGCGGUGCGGUAAGUGCGGUGUGAAAUCCCACGGCUCAAUCGUGGAAUUGCGCUGCAUACUGCCGUGCUAGAGGGAGACAGGGGUAAGCGGAACUGAUGGUGGAGCGGUGAAAUGCGUUGAUAUCAUCAGGAACACCAGUGGCGAAAGCGGCUUACUGGGUCUCUUCUGACGCUGAGGUACGAAAGCGUGGGUAGCGAACAGG